CAAUAGCGUAUAUUUACGUUGUUGCAGUUAAAAAGCUCGUAGUUGGAUUUCGGAUGGGAUUUGCCGGUCCGUCGUUACGAUGUGCACUGGCCAGUCCUAUCUUGUUGUCGGGGACUAGCUCCUUGGAUUCACUUCCUGGGACUAGGAGCUGACGAGGUUACUUUGAGUAAAUUAGAGUGUUCAAAGCAAGCCUACGCUCUGAAUACAUUAGCAUGGAAUAACACGAUAGGACUCUGGCUUAUCUUGUUGGUCUGUGAGACCAGAGUAAUGAUUAAGAGGGACAGUCGGGGACAUUCGUAUUUCAUUGUCAGAGGUGAAAUUCUUGGAUUUAUGAAAGACGAACUUCUGCGAAAGCAUUUGUCAAGGAUGUUUUCAUUA
RNAcentral lists this ribosomal RNA (378 nucleotides) under uncultured eukaryote. Its description in RNAcentral is "partial 18S ribosomal RNA". It matches the Rfam family "Eukaryotic small subunit ribosomal RNA", at positions 592 to 975 of the family's 1831-position model. The record is from RNAcentral.